This is a regulatory RNA element of Bacillus methanolicus MGA3, 126 nucleotides long. It matches the Rfam family "Ribosomal protein L20 leader". Rfam says of the family: This family is a putative r-protein leader autoregulatory structure found in B. subtilis and other low-GC Gram-positive bacteria. It is located in the 5' untranslated regions of mRNAs encoding initiation factor 3 followed by ribosomal proteins L35 and L20 (infC-rpmI-rplT). The record is from Rfam. Lineage: Bacteria; Bacillati; Bacillota; Bacilli; Caryophanales; Bacillaceae.
GUGAAAAAGAAGAAGCACCCGCUUCUCACCUGAUUGACGCUGUUGGCAGUUGACAGGUUUACGUAAAACUUUAAGGCUAGCUGUGUCUAUUAGUGCGGGUGUUUUCAUCCGCACUUUUUUAUUUUU